RNAcentral lists this ribosomal RNA (640 nucleotides) under Euryhaliotrema aspistis. RNAcentral's name for it is "partial 16S ribosomal RNA". The stretch from base 449 to 640 matches the Rfam family "Bacterial large subunit ribosomal RNA", at positions 2048 to 2531 of the family's 2925-position model. The record is from RNAcentral. Lineage: Eukaryota; Metazoa; Platyhelminthes; Monogenea; Dactylogyridea; Ancyrocephalidae.
UGUGAUAAAUUAGUCGGGGUGCUUGAUAACUUGUUAUUGGGGUGUUAGUAUUCUAAGGUUGUGGGUGUAGAGAUCCACAAUCAGACAGUAAGAAAUUUAAAUAUUAUUAUAGGCGGGUUUAGAAGUAACCAUUUUAAGUAGGUGUUACAACCAAUACUAGUAAAUAAAGUCUUCUAUAGAAACCCAAUAUAAUGUAAACUAAAUAUAGUUGUAGUAUGUUAUAAUAAGUAGUUAAAUGUUUUAUUGAGGUCUCAUUUUAAUCCGAACUGUUUAUUAAAAACAUUUCUAUAAGAAUAAUUUUAUAGUAGGACCUGCUCAGUGUUUCAAUAAAUAGCCGCAGUAUCUUGACUGUGCUAAGGUAGCAUAAUUAAUUGUCCCUUAAAUAGGGAAUUGUUUGAAUGGUUGUUUUGGGUUAUAAAAUAUCUAUAAAAUGUGAACGAAAUUAGUUUAUAAGUAAAGAACCUUAUAAUAUAAUAAUAGACGGAAAGACCCCGAGAGCUUAAUUAAAAUUUGUUUGGGGCAAAAUCUUUAGUUUAAAAGAAGUUUGAACCCGCAGGGUUUAUUGGCUAAGUUACCUCGGGGAUAACAGGGUUAGAAAUAAGGAGAGUUCAUAUCGAUUUAUUUAGUUGCUACCUCGAUG